AUAUAUAUAAUAGGUAAGCCUAUUUCCUAGGGAAUCAAAAACCCUUGUACAUUAAAUACUAAAAUAUA
RNAcentral lists this transfer RNA (68 nucleotides) under Polygraphus poligraphus. RNAcentral's name for it is "tRNA-Gln". Lineage: Eukaryota; Metazoa; Arthropoda; Insecta; Coleoptera; Curculionidae. The record is from RNAcentral.